RNAcentral lists this ribosomal RNA (272 nucleotides) under uncultured soil bacterium. Its description in RNAcentral is "partial 16S ribosomal RNA". It matches the Rfam family "Bacterial small subunit ribosomal RNA", at positions 26 to 285 of the family's 1533-position model. The record is from RNAcentral.
AGAAUCAACGCUGGCGGCGUGCCUAACACAUGCAAGUCGUACGCGAAAGGGGAGCAAUCCCUGAGUAGAGUGGCAAACGGGUGAGUAACACGUGGGUGACCUGCCUCAGAGUGGGGGAUAACGUCCCGAAAGGGACGCUAAUACCGCAUAACAUCCUGCCCUUGGAAGGGUGGAGAUCAAAGCCGGGGAUCGCAAGACCUGGCGCUUGGAGAGGGGCCCGCGUCUGAUUAGCUAGUUGGUAGGGUAAUGGCCUACCAAGGCGACGAUCAGUA